CUCUACAGCCAUACCACCCUGAAGGUGACUGAUCUUGGAAGCUAAGCAGAGUUGGGCCUGGUUAGUACUUGGAUGGCAGACAGGUCUCACUCUUGCUCAGGCUGGUCUUGAAC
Molecule: ribosomal RNA, 113 nt
Filed under: Prolemur simus (greater bamboo lemur)
Lineage: Eukaryota; Metazoa; Chordata; Mammalia; Primates; Lemuridae
Source: RNAcentral